Dreissena polymorpha is the source of this 530-nucleotide long non-coding RNA. RefSeq lists it as uncharacterized. NCBI's taxonomy places the organism in Eukaryota, Metazoa, Mollusca, Bivalvia, Myida, Dreissenidae. The transcript is spliced from 3 exons. The record is from RefSeq and is a predicted model, not a curated record.
CAAUUAUAUUGUUCAACAGCAGUUUAAGUAUAUGCGCUUUCCGCCGCUCGAAUUAUUGUGCAAUGAUUAAUUUUGCUGUACUCAUCACUGACAUCAGUUAAAGAUUUUUGGCCAAAGGAAACAUCUAUUCCAAGCUGGCAGAUCUUCAUGGAAUCAGCAGAUCAUCUUUCGUUAUUUGACAUGCCUUCACGAGUUCAAUCAGCAAACAUAUGAUCGGUUUCCAGCCCGUGUACAACAACAAACUUGCAUGAAGGUUGGAUUCUGCCACAAGGCCUGGGAGCAGUGGAUGGGACUCUCAUACCCAUAAUACUGAAUACGUUAAAUUACAAACAUGCAGUUGAACACAGCAGGAACUCUUGAAGAAAAAAAUAUGUACUUUUUUAUUUGAACUUAAAUGUAAAAUAUAUAUUUAAUUUUAGCUCGACUAUACCUUGAAUGAUAAGCUGUGUAUAAAAUUAUGGUAAACAUGCAACAUCCUUAUAUCACUGUUUCUAUAACAUAUUUUUAUUAAAAGCACUUAGGUAUUCAGG